Molecule: ribosomal RNA, 488 nt
Filed under: uncultured Actinomycetes bacterium
Lineage: Bacteria; Bacillati; Actinomycetota; Actinomycetes
Description: bacterial SSU rRNA
Rfam family: Bacterial small subunit ribosomal RNA
Source: RNAcentral
UGGGGAAUCUUGCACAAUGGGCGAAAGCCUGAUGCAGCAACGCCGCGUGCGGGAAGAAGGCCCUAGGGUUGUAAACCGCUUUCAGCAGGGAAGAAACUGACGGUACCUGUAGAAGAAGGUGCGGCCAACUACGUGCCAGCAGCCGCGGUGACACGUAGGCACCAAGCGUUGUCCGGAUUUAUUGGGCGUAAAGAGCUCGUAGGCGGUUCGGUAAGUCGGGUGUGAGAACUCUGGGCUCAACCCAGAGCCGCCACCUGAUACUGCUGUGACUCGAGUGCGGUAGGGGAGCGGGGAAUUCCUGGUGUAGCGGUGAAAUGCGCAGAUAUCAGGAGGAACACCAGUGGCGAAGGCGCCGCUCCGGGCCGUGACUGACGCUGAGGAGCGAAAGCGUGGGUAGCAAGCAGGAUUAGAUACCCUGGUAGUCCACGCCGUAAGCGUUGGGCACUAGGUGUGGGUCUCAACCAACGAGAUCCGCGCCGUCGCUAACG